This 625-nucleotide ribosomal RNA is filed under the name Lactococcus garvieae. RNAcentral's name for it is "bacterial SSU rRNA". It matches the Rfam family "Bacterial small subunit ribosomal RNA", at positions 70 to 680 of the family's 1533-position model. Lineage: Bacteria; Bacillati; Bacillota; Bacilli; Lactobacillales; Streptococcaceae. The record is from RNAcentral.
UUAAGAUAGCUUGCUAUUUUUAUGAAGAGCGGCGAACGGGUGAGUAACGCGUGGGAAAUCUGCCGAGUAGCGGGGGACAACGUUUGGAAACGAACGCUAAUACCGCAUAACAAUGAGAAUCGCAUGAUUCUUAUUUAAAAGAAGCAAUUGCUUCACUACUUGAUGAUCCCGCGUUGUAUUAGCUAGUUGGUAGUGUAAAGGACUACCAAGGCGAUGAUACAUAGCCGACCUGAGAGGGUGAUCGGCCACACUGGGACUGAGACACGGCCCAGACUCCUACGGGAGGCAGCAGUAGGGAAUCUUCGGCAAUGGGGGCAACCCUGACCGAGCAACGCCGCGUGAGUGAAGAAGGUUUUCGGAUCGUAAAACUCUGUUGUUAGAGAAGAACGUUAAGUAGAGUGGAAAAUUACUUAAGUGACGGUAUCUAACCAGAAAGGGACGGCUAACUACGUGCCAGCAGCCGCGGUAAUACGUAGGUCCCAAGCGUUGUCCGGAUUUAUUGGGCGUAAAGCGAGCGCAGGUGGUUUCUUAAGUCUGAUGUAAAAGGCAGUGGCUCAACCAUUGUGUGCAUUGGAAACUGGGAGACUUGAGUGCAGGAGAGGAGAGUGGAAUUCCAUGGGUAAGC